This 1391-nucleotide ribosomal RNA is filed under the name Klebsiella pneumoniae. RNAcentral's name for it is "bacterial SSU rRNA". It matches the Rfam family "Bacterial small subunit ribosomal RNA". The record is from RNAcentral. Lineage: Bacteria; Pseudomonadati; Pseudomonadota; Gammaproteobacteria; Enterobacterales; Enterobacteriaceae.
UGCAAGUCGAGCGGUAGCACAGAGAGCUUGCUCUCGGGUGACGAGCGGCGGACGGGUGAGUAAUGUCUGGGAAACUGCCUGAUGGAGGGGGAUAACUACUGGAAACGGUAGCUAAUACCGCAUAACGUCGCAAGACCAAAGUGGGGGACCUUCGGGCCUCAUGCCAUCAGAUGUGCCCAGAUGGGAUUAGCUAGUAGGUGGGGUAACGGCUCACCUAGGCGACGAUCCCUAGCUGGUCUGAGAGGAUGACCAGCCACACUGGAACUGAGACACGGUCCAGACUCCUACGGGAGGCAGCAGUGGGGAAUAUUGCACAAUGGGCGCAAGCCUGAUGCAGCCAUGCCGCGUGUGUGAAGAAGGCCUUCGGGUUGUAAAGCACUUUCAGCGGGGAGGAAGGCGUUGAGGUUAAUAACCUUGUCGAUUGACGUUACCCGCAGAAGAAGCACCGGCUAACUCCGUGCCAGCAGCCGCGGUAAUACGGAGGGUGCAAGCGUUAAUCGGAAUUACUGGGCGUAAAGCGCACGCAGGCGGUCUGUCAAGUCGGAUGUGAAAUCCCCGGGCUCAACCUGGGAACUGCAUUCGAAACUGGCAGGCUAGAGUCUUGUAGAGGGGGGUAGAAUUCCAGGUGUAGCGGUGAAAUGCGUAGAGAUCUGGAGGAAUACCGGUGGCGAAGGCGGCCCCCUGGACAAAGACUGACGCUCAGGUGCGAAAGCGUGGGGAGCAAACAGGAUUAGAUACCCUGGUAGUCCACGCCGUAAACGAUGUCGAUUUGGAGGUUGUGCCCUUGAGGCGUGGCUUCCGGAGCUAACGCGUUAAAUCGACCGCCUGGGGAGUACGGCCGCAAGGUUAAAACUCAAAUGAAUUGACGGGGGCCCGCACAAGCGGUGGAGCAUGUGGUUUAAUUCGAUGCAACGCGAAGAACCUUACCUGGUCUUGACAUCCACAGAACUUUCCAGAGAUGGAUUGGUGCCUUCGGGAACUGUGAGACAGGUGCUGCAUGGCUGUCGUCAGCUCGUGUUGUGAAAUGUUGGGUUAAGUCCCGCAACGAGCGCAACCCUUAUCCUUUGUUGCCAGCGGUCCGGCCGGGAACUCAAAGGAGACUGCCAGUGAUAAACUGGAGGAAGGUGGGGAUGACGUCAAGUCAUCAUGGCCCUUACGACCAGGGCUACACACGUGCUACAAUGGCAUAUACAAAGAGAAGCGACCUCGCGAGAGCAAGCGGACCUCAUAAAGUAUGUCGUAGUCCGGAUUGGAGUCUGCAACUCGACUCCAUGAAGUCGGAAUCGCUAGUAAUCGUAGAUCAGAAUGCUACGGUGAAUACGUUCCCGGGCCUUGUACACACCGCCCGUCACACCAUGGGAGUGGGUUGCAAAAGAAGUAGGUAGCUUAAC